GUGCCAGCAGCCGCGGUAAUACGAAGGGGGCGAGCGUUGUUCGGAAUCACUGGGCGUAAAGGGCGCGUAGGCGGCCUCCCCUGUCGCGUGUGAAAGCCCCGGGCUCAACCUGGGAACGGCGCGCGAGACGGGGGGGCUGGAGUUCGGGAGAGGAGCGUGGAAUUCCCAGUGUAGAGGUGAAAUUCGUAGAUAUUGGGAAGAACACCGGUGGCGAAGGCGGCGCUCUGGUCCGAGACUGACGCUGAGGCGCGAAAGCGUGGGGAGCAAACAGGAUUAGAUACCCUCGUAGUAC
RNAcentral lists this ribosomal RNA (292 nucleotides) under uncultured bacterium. RNAcentral describes it as "partial 16S ribosomal RNA". It matches the Rfam family "Bacterial small subunit ribosomal RNA", at positions 505 to 796 of the family's 1533-position model. The record is from RNAcentral.